ACGGGAGGCAGCAGUGGGGGAUAUUGCACAAUGGGGGAAACCCUGAUGCAGCGACGCCGCGUGAGUGAUGAAGUAUUUCGGUAUGUAAAGCUCUAUCAGCAGGGAAGAUAAUGACGGUACCUGACUAAGAAGCACCGGCUCAAUACGUGCCAGCAGCCGCGGUAAUACGUCUGGUGCAAGCGUUAUCCGGAUUUACUGGGUGUAAAGGGAGCGUAGACGGCAAGGCGAGCCAGAUGUGAAAGGCUGGGGCUCAACCCCGGGACUGCAUUUGGAACUGUCUAGCUAGAGUAUCGGAGAGGUAAGUGGAAUUCCUAGUGUAGCGGUGAAAUGCGUAGAUAUUAGGAGGAACACCAGUGGCGAAGGCGGCUUACUGGACGAUAACUGACGUUGAGGCUCGAAAGCGUGGGGAGCAAACAGGAUUAGAUACCCUGGUA
Molecule: ribosomal RNA, 434 nt
Filed under: uncultured Ruminococcus sp.
Lineage: Bacteria; Bacillati; Bacillota; Clostridia; Eubacteriales; Oscillospiraceae
Description: partial 16S ribosomal RNA
Rfam family: Bacterial small subunit ribosomal RNA
Source: RNAcentral